RNAcentral lists this ribosomal RNA (633 nucleotides) under uncultured bacterium. RNAcentral describes it as "bacterial SSU rRNA". It matches the Rfam family "Bacterial small subunit ribosomal RNA", at positions 794 to 1428 of the family's 1533-position model. The record is from RNAcentral.
UCCACGCCCUAAACGAUGUCGAUUAGCUGUUGGGCAGCAUGACUGCUUAGUAGCGAAGCUAACGCGUGAAAUCGACCGCCUGGGGAGUACGGUCGCAAGAUUAAAACUCAAAGGAAUUGACGGGGACCCGCACAAGCGGUGGAUGAUGUGGAUUAAUUCGAUGCAACGCGAAGAACCUUACCUGGUCUUGACAUGUACGGAACCCUCCAGAGACGGAGGGGUGCCUUCGGGAGCCGUAACACAGGUGCUGCAUGGCUGUCGUCAGCUCGUGUCGUGAGAUGUUGGGUUAAGUCCCGCAACGAGCGCAACCCUUGUCAUUAGUUGCCAUCAUUAAGUUGGGCACUCUAAUGAGACUGCCGGUGACAAGCCGGAGGAAGGUGGGGAUGACGUCAAGUCCUCAUGGCCCUUAUGACCAGGGCUUCACACGUCAUACAAUGGUCGGUACAGAGGGUAGCCAAGCCGCGAGGUGGAGCCAAUCUCACAAAACCGAUCGUAGUCCGGAUUGCACUCUGCAACUCGAGUGCAUGAAGUCGGAAUCGCUAGUAAUCGCAGGUCAGCAUACUGCGGUGAAUACGUUCCCGGGUCUUGUACACACCGCCCGUCACACCAUGGGAGUGGGGGAUACCAGAAGUA